UGCGGCCGCGAUUCCGGUUGAUCCUGCCGGACCCGACCGCUAUCGGGGUGGGGCUAAGCCAUGGAAGUCGGACGCUCCGCAAGCGCGGAGCGUGGCGCACGGCUGAGUAACACGUGGUCAACCUACCCUCGGGACGGGGAUAGUCCCGGGAAACUGGGACUAAUCCCCGAUAGGCAGAGGGAUCUGGAAGGUCCCUCUGCCUAAAGGGUCGAACCGCUGUGAAGGUUCGACCGCCCGAGGAUGGGACCACGGCCCAUCAUGGUUGUUGGCGGGGUAACGGCCCGCCAAGCCGAAGACGGGUAGGGGCCGUGAGAGCGGGAGCCCCCAGAUGGGCACUGAGACAAGGGCCCAGGCCCUACGGGGCGCACCAGGCGCGAAAACUCCGCAAAUAGAGGGUUCCAACGGGUUGAUCUAUCUCAGGUUAGGUUUUCCAGAAAUGAUAGGUGUAGAGGAAUCAUUAUCCUGAGUAGACCAUCACACUUAUCAAACCCUGAAUACCCCCGUUGGACCCUCUAGCGGAAUGCGGGAAACCGUGACGGGGCCACCCCGAGUGCCCCGAAGAGGGGCUUUUCCCCGCUGUAAGUAGGCGGGGGAAUAAGCGGGGGGCAAGUCUGGUGUCAGCCGCCGCGGUAAUACCAGCCCCGCGAGACCGGUGGGUCUGGGAUCCUUACACUGAUGUUAGGUAAUUGAAUGAGUGUUGAAGAGUAUUAUCUUGUCGUUUACAUAACCCGAGUCUUGAGAGGAGUGAGGGUAGCUGGCUGGAGACCCAGCCUAAGGCUAAACCCCUAGAUGUAGCCUUAAACCUCCAUAACAAUAUUAGUGUACCAUUGAAAUCUACGGAGAUAAAAACCUCACUCUUUAGUCUUAAACAUUAGUCAUAAAUUAACGCAUCCUAAGUUUAGUCCGUCUCUCCCAAUGUUUUCCCGGACCCACGGCGCGGAUGGUCGGGACGUUUAUUGGGCCUAAAGCGUCCGUAGCCGGCCCGGUAAGUCCUCCCUUAAAGCCUCGGGCUCAACCCGAGGACGGGGAGGAUACUGCCGGGCUAGGGGGCGGGAGAGGCCGGCGGUACUCCCGGGGUAGGGGCGAAAUCCGUUAAUCCCGGGAGGACCACCAGUGGCGAAGGCGGCCGGCUGGAACGCGCCCGACGGUGAGGGACGAAAGCCGGGGGAGCGAACCGGAUUAGAUACCCGGGUAGGUACGUGUCGCGGGUUACUUCAUAAACCUCCUACAUUACACUUAUUAGUAUUCAGUUAUCUCCCCGCGGCCGUACCCCGGAGAGUCCCGGCUGUAAACGAUGCGGGCUAGGUGUUGGGUGGGCUUAGAGCCCACCCAGUGCCACAGGGAAGCCGUUAAGCCCGCCGCCUGGGGAGUACGGCCGCAAGGCUGAAACUUAAAGGAAUUGGCGGGGGAGCACCACAAGGG
RNAcentral lists this ribosomal RNA (1422 nucleotides) under Ignisphaera aggregans. RNAcentral's name for it is "partial 16S ribosomal RNA". It matches the Rfam family "Archaeal small subunit ribosomal RNA", at positions 1 to 887 of the family's 1478-position model. The record is from RNAcentral. Lineage: Archaea; Thermoproteati; Thermoproteota; Thermoprotei; Desulfurococcales; Desulfurococcaceae.